Molecule: long non-coding RNA, 247 nt
Filed under: Manihot esculenta (cassava)
Lineage: Eukaryota; Viridiplantae; Streptophyta; Magnoliopsida; Malpighiales; Euphorbiaceae
Description: long non-coding RNA (MESC_LNC012983)
Source: RNAcentral
UUCUUCUUUGAUCUUCUGAGACCUCUGUCUCCCUUCUUACUUUUUGUGACAACCUCGCUCAGAGGGGAGAGAUUAGCAUCACUCGUCCCCGGGAUAUGGAGACCCGAAGACUGUGCCACAGACUGCUUAACUGUCCCUUGGAUAAUGGCACUAGCCUCCAUUCUCCGUGCCAUAUCCACUAUAGCAUGGAAGCUCUCCCUUUCUGCUGAUUGAAUCAACGAGGAAUACCUGGAGUGAAGCUUCAUAA